GGGCGCUUAGCUCAGUUGGUUAGAGCGCAGCCUUCACACGGCUGAGGUCGAGGGUUCGAAUCCCCCAGCGCCCACCA
Molecule: transfer RNA, 77 nt
Filed under: Actinomycetota bacterium
Lineage: Bacteria; Bacillati; Actinomycetota
Description: Actinobacteria bacterium (freshwater metagenome) tRNA-Val
Rfam family: tRNA
About the family: Transfer RNA (tRNA) molecules are approximately 80 nucleotides in length. Their secondary structure includes four short double-helical elements and three loops (D, anti-codon, and T loops).
Source: RNAcentral